Molecule: ribosomal RNA, 254 nt
Filed under: uncultured bacterium
Lineage: Bacteria
Description: partial 16S ribosomal RNA
Rfam family: Bacterial small subunit ribosomal RNA
Source: RNAcentral
UGUGAAAUGUUGGGUUAAGUCCCGCAACGAGCGCAACCCUUAUCCUUUGUUGCCAGCGAUUAGGUCGGGAACUCAAAGGAGACUGCCGGUGACAAACCGGAGGAAGGUGGGGAUGACGUCAAGUCAUCAUGGCCCUUACGAGUAGGGCUACACACGUGCUACAAUGGCGUAUACAGAGGGAAGCGAGAGUGCGAGCUGGAGCGAAUCUCACAAAGUACGUCUAAGUCCGGAUUGGAGUCUGCAACUCGACUCCA